AUUUUUCUCUUGAAAAUGUGGAAAUCUAAGAAGAUAGAAGAUUAUUUAUCAAACUAACACUCAUUUACGCAUAGGUCUAGAUUGUGACAUUUGAACCUAUUAGUUACUAUACUAGUGUUUUAGGUUUGACAAUUAUUAAAAAAAUGUACAAACCAGAAUGGUAUAAAAGAAAAUAAAUAUCACAGAAGUAGUUUCCAAUCCAUCUUUAUAUUUAUUUAUAUAAUAAUAUUAGAAGCAAAUCUAUUUCAAGGCAUCUCUAUUUUUUUUUUGAAAUUAGAGAUUACUAUUUAUCUUGAUAAAAAAAAGAGAUUACUAUUUCUCUCUAUAUUUAAAGCAAGAAAUGAUAUUUAUUUAUAUUUAGUACUUUUAAUAUAUUACUUUUAGCUUUAUACUGGAAGCUUUAUACAGUAAACUAUAUGUAGUACAGUAGUGGAUUAGAUCAGACCAGGCUUGGUAGGCCAUGGGGACUCUGGCUGGCGAUAGCUAAUUGGUUCGGUCUUGAACUAUGUUUUGAACGAACCAAACAAAACGUUGCAUCGAGCAGAAUCGGGCCCGACUUCAUCUUAUCAACAACAUAGGUCAGAUGGUGGAUUCUUUAUUAUCAAAAAUUAAUUUUUCAGUUUUAGGCAAAAAGAUAUAUACAAAUUACUUUUUGACGACGGGACCCAGAUUCAACAAGUUGCACAUCCAAGGGGCCAUAUGGAUUAAUUGCACUAUGAAUCAGAAUGAUGAAAAAGUUAUUAUGUUGUUUCUUCAUGUCUUUAUUUUAUUAAAAGGUUAGUUUACUUUCGUCAUCAACUUGAAUCUGACAGACAGGACGCGAUAUUUAAUUUUUUAGAUACUUUGAUCUAGAAUUAGAUGAAAAAUCUCAUGUAAAAUAUUGCAAUACAUUAUUAGUAGUUAUAAACUUAUAACUUUAAUAUAUAAACAUCUUGACUGCAAUACAUUAUUAGUAGUUAUAAACGUAUAAUUUUAAUAUAUAAACAUCUUGACUGCAAGACAUUAUUAGUAGUCAUAAACUUAUAAGUUUGUUCAAAAAAAAAAGAUUGCAAUACAUUAUUAGUAGUUAUAAGCUUAUAAUUUAAAUAUAUAAGCAUCUUGACUGGUAAGAAAUUUCUUAUAAAUAAACCAUAGGAAUUUGUAUUUUUGACCAAGGAUUCAUUGUAUAAUUAUUCAGGUCCUCUAGUCGCAAAGUUAUAGAGUCAUAGACACGAGUCUUGUGCAAUCAUACAUUUUUACUUGAUUAAAGUAUUAUGCAUACAAGUAAUUUGUGAAGAGUGGGUAAUCUAUACAUAUACUUAAUCUAGAUCCAACAAACAUUUUUAUUGAUUUAGUUUAAUACAUAUAAACCUUAAUCAAAACCAAAAGCAAAGCUUCUAUACAAGUUGCUUUUAACAACCAACUCGAGUUGGCCUAGUGGUACUUGAGGGAGCUUCGGCCCCGAUACGGUCCCGGGUUCGAUUCGCGUUGGCCACGAGGGGAUUUACAUGGGCUCCUCUCGCCCUCCAGACCACUUCGCGUAACCAGGGGCCCUUAAGUGGACGCUUAAAAAUCCUGUAAUGGCAUGGGCUUAGGCCCGGUGGGCUAGUCGAUCACGCAAAAGUGGUCGGAUACUGGAUUAUCAAAAAAAAAAAGUUGCUUUUAACCUAACCAAAAAUUUCAAUCUUUUUUUUCUUUUCUUAUAAUUAUUUUCUUUCAAGGUACUAUUGAAUAAUGACCACUUUUUUUUUAUGUUAAUGUACUUCUCUUCGAAUUAUUGUGCUCAUCCUAAAAUAUGAAUAUCCCAGCGGAGAAACUCUGCUCGCCGGCACAAGGAGAGCUUAAAACGUCGACGUUUCCGGAGACUUGCGAUUUACAUUUCUCAUUUUGUUCGUCCUGCAUUAUCUGCACUGAUCUGCACUCCGCACUGCAGAAUCCCAUCUCUCCUCUGCACACAA
This 1937-nucleotide long non-coding RNA is filed under the name Brassica napus (rape). Its description in RNAcentral is "long non-coding RNA (BNAP_LNC006202)". The record is from RNAcentral. Lineage: Eukaryota; Viridiplantae; Streptophyta; Magnoliopsida; Brassicales; Brassicaceae.